AGUGAACGCUGGCGGUAGGCCUAACACAUGCAAGUCGAACGGCAGCACAGGAGAGCUUGCUCUCUGGGUGGCGAGUGGCGGACGGGUGAGGAAUACACCGGAAUCUACUUUUUCGUGGGGGAUAACGUAGGGAAACUUACGCUAAUACCGCAUACGACCUACGGGUGAAAGCAGGGGAUCUUCGGACCUUGCGCGAUUGAAUGAGCCGAUGUCGGAUUAGCUAGUUGGCGGGGUAAAGGCCCACCAAGGCGACGAUCCGUAGCUGGUCUGGGAGGAGGAUCAGCCACACUGGAACUGAGACACGGUCCAGACUCCUACGGGAGGCAGCAGUGGGGAAUAUUGGACAAUGGGCGCAAGCCUGAUCCAGCCAUACCGCGUGGGUGAAGAAGGCCUUCGGGUUGUAAAGCCCUUUUGUUGGGAAAGAAAUCCAGCUGGUUAAUACCCGGUUGGGAUGACGGUACCCAAAGAAUAAGCACCGGCUAACUUCGUGCCAGCAGCCGCCGUAA
RNAcentral lists this ribosomal RNA (506 nucleotides) under uncultured bacterium. Its description in RNAcentral is "partial 16S ribosomal RNA". It matches the Rfam family "Bacterial small subunit ribosomal RNA", at positions 29 to 523 of the family's 1533-position model. The record is from RNAcentral.